Molecule: long non-coding RNA, 3738 nt
Organism: Antechinus flavipes (yellow-footed antechinus)
Lineage: Eukaryota; Metazoa; Chordata; Mammalia; Dasyuromorphia; Dasyuridae
Exons: 2
Source: RefSeq, a predicted model, not a curated record
UACAGUUUAAUAACAGGAUAUAAUUACAUAUACAAAUAACUAAAAUAGAAUGAUAAUAAUAGAUAGCAUGCUUAUAGAACUUCACAACUUAUACAGAACCUCCUUUACAGCAUAUUUGUAUAUUAACUGGUACAACCAAUUUACAGAUGAGAAAACUGAAGUUUCAGAAAGGUUAAAUGCCUUUCUCACAGUCACAUCACGAGCAAAGUAAAGAGCCAGGACCGGCUUCGGCUUCUCAUCCCAAAUCAUAGGUUUUCAUUACAGCAUCUGCAUUAGAAAAGUACAGACUAAAGGCUGAGAAGAAAAGUAGGGAGCAAGUAUUUCGGUCUGGCUAGACAACUGAGUGUGUGGAAGGCAAUAUCAUAACAUUUAUCUGGAAAGAGGGGAACACUAAAUAUGACUUUAUCUUAUAGGCAAUAGAGAGCUGUAAAAAGUUUUGAAUAGAGAUCAAAGUCAAUCAUUGAAAGAAUAUUCUUACAGCCAGCAUAAGUAAUAAUAAAAUUCAAAAUGAAAUUAGACUCGCUGAGCUAAUGAUCCCCCAAAAUAGGUUUUUAAGCUAUUAGAUGCAAUUCUUCACAAAGUACAACUCUAAUGUCUGACUGUAAUAUAAAAUCUGUACCAACAGAGUACAGAUUGUAUCAAGACCAAACAUUCUUGAAAGGCUUUGAGUAAUAUGUUGACAACAGAAUAAAGUUACUUCCUUAAGACCCAAAGUAAAUCUACUUUCUGAUGAAAGGAGAUGCUCAUAAUCAUGAAGUUGGUCUCUAUAUCAUAAAAUUUUUAGCUAUGGCAAAUCAUUAAACAACAACAAAAAAAAAACAAGAUAGUACUCAUUCCUUGCUCCUAUCUGGUGGUAGAAAAGGGUACAAAAGUGCUUUUAAAAAAACAAUGUUUAAAAAAACAUUUUAAAAAAUGAUCAUUAAGUCAUCUGUAAAUAUGAACUUAAUUUGUUGAUACUCCUUCUCUUAUAGACAAACUACUUGUGGAACUAACUCAAUCUUGACUUUUUUCUGUAAUUGAACAGAAGACAAAAAGAUUAUAGCAUCUAGAACCAGAAGAGAUAUUAAAGACUCUUGAAUUCCCCCUUCCCAGCCCUGUCAUUUUAUAAAUGAGGAAAUUGAGAUUAAAUGAUAUGUCUAAGGUCACACAGCUAGUAAGGUUCAAAGCCCAAUUUGAUUUUAUCAUAUACCCAGAGGCAAAAGAAAUAUUUCAUGUGAUACUUGGCUAACAUUUCAAUGUUCAUUAUGAACAUCUAUAAAAGGAGGUGAAUAAAUAUUAAUCUACACAAUAUCUGUUAUCAGACAAAGAAAUUCUUGUGAUGAACUUGAAAGGAUUUCCCAAAUUAAAUCAAUCUAUUUUUUAAUAUUAUGUUACUUUAAUGCAAAUGUAGACCUGUUAAAGUCCAUUGAAAUAAUGUCCAAAAAAUAUGGAUUAAGAGUAAGAAAAUUUUGUAGACUAUAAAAAAAACCUCAUGUCUAUAUCACAAAUAUUUUCUUCAAGAAAGGAGUCUAAAAAAGUUUACUUCAUGUCAAUCAAUCACUGCAAAUGAAACCAAAGGGGUUAUGAAACCAUCUUAGCUAAUAAAUUUGCCUCCUUGUGAAGUGGAAUUACAUGGCAGCCAAGGACAACAUUGGUUUGGAAUAUAAAGUUAUUCAUAAAAUCUUACAAAGAAUAAUGGUGGAAGAUUAUGAGCAAAGUUGUCACAGAAUUCCAAAAUUUUAAAAUUGCUUGGGACUAUGGUAGUCAUCAUCCAAAAGGACUCCACUCUUAUAAUAUAUCUAUUGAAACAUACUUUUGCUUUUUUUGUAUCCACAGGGCUUAACACAGUGCCUGGCACAUAAAAUUGAUGGAGUCAAUCAAUAAUCAAUCAAUCAAUUAAUCAAAGAUUUUCUGACUAAAAAUAUCAAGUGAGGCAUAAAACAUGCUUAUUAACAAUGUCACCCACUUGUCCCAUAAGGAUCCAGAUGGAAGAUAGUUUCUGUACAUGAUAAUGUUUUCCAGAUGCUCUUAUUUUCAAGAGGGUAGCAAGGAGAGUAUUAUUUUCAUAAAACCAAAGAACAGUGCAAAUUUGCUAAGUAAAAUUUAUAAUCACUUAAAAGAGAGCCCUAUUCAAAUAGGAAAAAGUCAAGAUGAAAAGUAUCUAUUAUCUGGAUUUGGGCUUGAUAUUGGAUGAAUAGCAAAUGGAACUCAUCCAUCAGUAAAUAUAUUUUAAACAGAUAAAGCAGAUGAGUAACAAUUUGAUCUGAAAUUGAAAAGAAUAGUUAGAUAGCGUUUGGGAAAUUGUAGAUUGCUUUUGACGACCCCAACCUUCUAUCUAAAAUAAAGGAAUGCUUUGUGAUUACCUACAAAGGGAAAUAAUGAUCAUUAAAAGUCAGAAAUCAUUGUCAUCAAGAAAAGACCAAAACUAUUUAAUUUCAUUUCUUGUGGGUUAGCAGGUAGCAUGGUAGAUUAGGAGGGAUAGGAUUUGAGGAAGGCCUCAAUUCAAAUCUGGCCUCAGAAACUUGCUAGCUGUGUUACCCUGGGCAAGGGUAUCUUAAAUCCUUUUUUCCUCAGUUUCUUCAACUGUAAAAUGGGGAUGAUAAGGGCACCUAUCUUAGAGAGUUGUUAUGAUGUUAUUUGUAAAAUGCUUCAUAACAGUGCCUGGCAUAGAGUAGGUACUGUAUAAAAAUUCAUCUUACCUUCUCUUUUCUCCCAUUUACCUUUUUCUUUAGACAGGAUAGAUCAAGCACACAUUCCAAACAUGGUAUGCUUAGAUUUCUACAUGAUCUUUGAUGAAGUUCCUCAUAUGAAGAAGGUAGAAAAAAUGUAAGAUGGAUUAGACUACACCUAAGGAUUUAGAAUUGGAUGAAUUAAGAGAUUGAUGUCUGUUUGAAAGGAGCUCUCUAAUGAAGUAUCCCAAAGGUCUAUCAUUAGCCCUUUACUUUUCAAUAGUUUUAUUAAUUAUUUGGAUAAAGGCAUAAAAGGCAUACUUGUAAAAAAAAUUACAAUUAACACAAAUCUUGACAGGAUAGCUGAUAGACAGAGGACCCUUAUAAAUUAGAGCAAUGGGUCACAUUAAAUAAGAUGAAAUUUAAAAAGAAAUAAAUUUUACACUUAGGUUCAUGGAAUCAAUUUCACAAAUAUAGGAAAGAGGAGAGAUAUGGAUAAACAAAAAGAUCUGGCAGUUACGAUACUGAUGCUUUAUGGACUAGGUCUCAAAUUCUCCUGAAAACCUCAAGGUCUUUGUGACUUCUACUCUCCACUACAUAGGAAUCCUGACUCCCAAAUCUUUCUAAAGUUGAGUGAACUUUCCCCUAGCCAAGGUAGUAUACAGAUUUCUCUUAUCCACUCCAACUCUUGGGAUCUAAAAUGGUUCAACUCAUUUGCCCCACAGAUCAUUGGAAGAAGGUGAUCACAUUCAGCUGUCUUAAUGAGGAUUUUGUGGAGGAAGAUGAUAAAGAUGCUACCUUAUGGCCCAUGACAGUGACUUUUUUCACUCUGUUCCUGCUCAGCAUGUUCUACAAUACCACAGUGACCCUCAUCAAGACAAAGUCUGGCCCAGCUAUCAAGUACUAAGCCUCUAAACAAGCAAGACACCUGAUGUUGGUGAGCUUUAUGAGAAAUCAAAGCCAUCACCAAGGACCAGAGUCUACUAGACAAGUUGCAGCUCCCACAGUGAAAACCAAUCCCCACUCUCAUCCUUCCAGUCUCUCUUGAGCCUGAAUGAUUCUGUAUAAUAAAGAUAGAACCUUUCUUCGA